RNAcentral lists this ribosomal RNA (2727 nucleotides) under Alphaproteobacteria bacterium. RNAcentral's name for it is "23S ribosomal RNA". It matches the Rfam family "Bacterial large subunit ribosomal RNA". The record is from RNAcentral. Lineage: Bacteria; Pseudomonadati; Pseudomonadota; Alphaproteobacteria.
ACUCAAGCGUGAAAAGGGCAUUUGGUGGAUGCCUUGGUGCCAGAAGGCGAUGAAGGACGUGGCACGCUGCGAUAAGCCCCGGGGAGCCGUGAGCAGGCUUUGAUCCGGGGAUUUCCGAUAUGGGGAAACCCGCCGCUUCGGCGGCAUCGUUCAGUGAAUUCAUAGCUGGACGAGGCGAACCCGGCGAACUGAAACAUCUCAGUAGCCGGAGGAAAGGACAUCAACCGAGACUCCGUUAGUAGCGGCGAGCGAACGCGGACUAGACCAGUGGUCGGGGAAGUGAAACCAGAAGCGCCUGGAAAGGCGCGCCAGAGACGGUGAUAGCCCGGUAUGGGUACAGCGCUUCCUUGAUCCUUGAGUAGGGCGGAACACGUGAAAUUCUGUCUGAAGAUGGGGGGACCAUCCUCCAAGUCUAAGUACUCUCUGGCGACCGAUAGCGAACCAGUACCGUGAGGGAAAGGUGAAAAGCACCCCUAACGGGGAGUGAAACAGAACCUGAAACCGGAUGCCUACAAGCAGUCGGAGGAAGGCCGGGAGCUUCGGCUUCCGUGCGCUUCUGACGGCGUACCUUUUGCAUAAUGGGUCAGCGAGUUAUUCUGUGCAGCAAGCUUAAGCCGUUAGGUGAAGGCGCAGCGAAAGCGAGUCUGAAUAGGGCGUCCAGUUGCGCGGAAUAGACCCGAAACCGGGUGAUCUAGCCAUGAGCAGGUUGAAGGUGCGGUAACACGCACUGGAGGACCGAACCCACCGAUGUUGAAAAAUCGGGGGAUGACUUGUGGCUAGGGGUGAAAGGCCAAUCAAACCCGGAGAUAGCUGGUUCUCCGCGAAAACUAUUUAGGUAGUGCGUCGCGUUUCACCGCCGGGGGUAGAGCACUGGAUGGGCUAGGGGGGAGCUAAUCCCUACCAAACCUAACCAAACUCCGAAUACCGGCGAGUGCAAUCGCGGCAGACAGACAUCGGGUGCUAAGGUCCGGUGUCGAAAGGGAAACAGCCCAGACCGCCAGUUAAGGUCCCUAAGUCAUGGCUAAGUGGGAAAGGAUGUGGGACGGCCAAAACAGCCAGGAGGUUGGCUUAGAAGCAGCCAUCCUUUAAAGAAAGCGUAACAGCUCACUGGUCUAAAUAAGCCAUCCUGCGCCGAAGAUGUACCGGGGCUCAAGCCAUGCACCGAAACUGCGGGCGCGACUUAGUCGCGCGGUAGCGGAGCGUUCCGUAGGCCUGUGAAGGGUUGUCGCGAGGCAGCCUGGAGGUAUCGGAAGUGAGAAUGCUGACACGAGUAGCGACAAACAGGGCGAGAAACCCUGUCGCCGAAAGUCCAAGGGUUCCUGCGCAAGGUUAAUCCGCGCAGGGUGAGCCGGCCCCUAAGGCGAGGCCGAAAGGCGUAGUCGAUGGGAACCAGGUUAAUAUUCCUGGGCCUGCCGGAGGUGACGAAUGCUGUAAGUCGUCCGGGCUGAUUGGAUUGCUCCGGGCGGCGAAGGCGUUCCGGGAAAUAACCCCGGCGUACAGACCGUACCCAAACCGACACAGGUGGACUGGUAGAGAAUACCAAGGCGCUUGGGAGAACGAUGAUGAAGGAACUCGGCAAAUUGCCUCCGUAACUUCGGGAGAAGGAGGCCCCACAUCCGGGCAACCGGGCGUGGGGGGCACAGACACAGGGGUGGCGACUGUUUACUAAAAACACAGGGCUCUGCUAACUCGAAAGAGGACGUAUAGGGCCUGACGCCUGCCCGGUGCCGGAAGGUUAAGAGGACGGGUGAGAGCUCCGAAUCGAAGCCCCGGUAAACGGCGGCCGUAACUAUAACGGUCCUAAGGUAGCGAAAUUCAUUGUCGGGUAAGUUCCGACCUGCACGAAUGGCGCAACGACUUCCCCACUGUCUCCAUCAUCGACUCAGCGAAACUGAAUUCUCCGUGAAGAUGCGGAGUACCCGCGGUCAGACGGAAAGACCCCGUGCACCUUUACUACAGCUUUGCAGUGGUAUUAGGGCGGGAGUCUUUGAAGCGUUGGCGCCAGCUGACGUGGAGACAUCCUUGAAAUACCGCCCUUUCGGUUUCUGGUAUCUAACCGUGGCCCGUUAUCCGGGUCCGGGACCCUGCAUGGUGGGUAGUUUGACUGGGGCGGUCGCCUCCCAAAGAGUAACGGAGGCGCGCAAAGAUAGGCUCAGGCUGGUCGGAAAUCAGCUGUGGAGUGCAAUGGCACAAGCCUGUCUGACUGUGAGAGCGACGGCUCGAGCAGAGACGAAAGUCGGCCAUAGUGAUCCGGUGGUCCCGGAUGGAAGGGCCAUCGCUCAACGGAUAAAAGGUACGCCGGGGAUAACAGGCUGAUACUCCCCAAGAGUCCCUAUCGACGGGAGUGUUUGGCACCUCGAUGUCGGCUCAUCACAUCCUGGGGCUGAAGCAGGUCCCAAGGGUUCGGCUGUUCGCCGAUUAAAGUUUAGAACGUCGUGAGACAGUUCGGUCCCUAUCUGCCGUGGGUGAAGGAAACUUGAAAGGAGCUGUCCCUAGUACGAGAGGACCGGGAUGGACACACCUCUGGUGUACCAGUUGUCGCGCCAGCGGCAUCGCUGGGUAGCUAUGUGUGGAAGGGAUAACCGCUGAAGGCAUCUAAGCGGGAAGCCCGCCUUGAAACGAGGUUUCCCUGAGAGCCGUGGCAGACCACCACGUUGAUAGGCCGGAUGUGGAAGCGCAGUAAUGCGUGGAGCUAACCGGUACUAAUCGCUCGAUUGGCUUGAGUUU